Molecule: transfer RNA, 73 nt
Filed under: Candidatus Aenigmatarchaeota archaeon
Lineage: Archaea; Nanobdellati; Candidatus Aenigmatarchaeota
Description: tRNA-Trp
Rfam family: tRNA
About the family: Transfer RNA (tRNA) molecules are approximately 80 nucleotides in length. Their secondary structure includes four short double-helical elements and three loops (D, anti-codon, and T loops).
Source: RNAcentral
GGGGUUAUGGUCCAACCAGGUACGACAGCUGGCUCCAGACCAGCUAAUGGGAGUUCGAAUCUCCCUGACCCCA